Non-coding RNA from Trichonephila inaurata madagascariensis, 70 nucleotides. The record is from the annotation of a GenBank genome assembly. NCBI's taxonomy places the organism in Eukaryota, Metazoa, Arthropoda, Arachnida, Araneae, Nephilidae.
GCCAGUAUGGUGGCUAUGACCCUCGGCUUGUAACCGAAUGGGUUUUCGGGUUCAAAUCCCGAGUGAGGCA